AGAGUUUGAUCAUGGCUCAGAUUGAACGCUGGCGGCAGGCCUAACACAUGCAAGUCGAACGGUAACAGGAAGCAGCUUGCUGCUUCGCUGACGAGUGGCGGACGGGUGAGUAAUGUCUGGGAAACUGCCUGAUGGAGGGGGAUAACUACUGGAAAC
RNAcentral lists this ribosomal RNA (156 nucleotides) under Escherichia coli DEC6E. RNAcentral describes it as "partial 16S ribosomal RNA". It matches the Rfam family "Bacterial small subunit ribosomal RNA", at positions 8 to 157 of the family's 1533-position model. The record is from RNAcentral. Lineage: Bacteria; Pseudomonadati; Pseudomonadota; Gammaproteobacteria; Enterobacterales; Enterobacteriaceae.